This 561-nucleotide ribosomal RNA is filed under the name uncultured beta proteobacterium. Its description in RNAcentral is "partial 16S ribosomal RNA". The record is from RNAcentral. Lineage: Bacteria; Pseudomonadati; Pseudomonadota; Betaproteobacteria.
UCGAUUCGUAUACCGCGGCUGCUGGCACGUAGUUAGCGGUGCUUAUUCUUCCGGUACCGUCAGUAGCGAACGAUAUUCACGUUCACGUUUCGUUCCGGACAAAGAGCUUUACAACCCGAAGGCCUUCUUCACUCACGCGGAAUGGCUGGAUCAGGGUUGCCCCCAUUGUCCAAAAUUCCCCACUGCUGCCUCCCGUAGGAGUCUGGGCCGUGUCUCAGUCCCAGUGUGGCUGAUCAUCCUCUCAGACCAGCUACCGAUCAUCGCCUUGGUGAGCCUUUACCUCACCAACUAGCUAAUCGGACAUCGGCCGCUCCCAUAGCGUGAGGUCCUUGCGGAUCCCCCACUUUCCUCCGUAGAGCAUAUGCGGUAUUAGUCCGGCUUUCGCCGGGUUAUCCCCCACUACGGGACACGUUCCGAUGCAUUACUCACCCGUUCGCCGCUCGCCGCCAGGGUUGCCCCCGCGCUGCCGCUCGACUUGCAUGUGUAAAGCACGCCGCCAGCGUUCAUCCUGAGCCAUGAUCAAACUCUAAUCACUAGUGAAUUCGCGGCCGCCUGCAGGUC